This 84-nucleotide transfer RNA is filed under the name Actinomycetota bacterium. RNAcentral's name for it is "tRNA-Leu". It matches the Rfam family "tRNA". From Rfam's summary of the family: Transfer RNA (tRNA) molecules are approximately 80 nucleotides in length. Their secondary structure includes four short double-helical elements and three loops (D, anti-codon, and T loops). The record is from RNAcentral. Lineage: Bacteria; Bacillati; Actinomycetota.
GCGGGCGUGCUGGAAUUGGCAGACAGGCACGGUUCAGGUCCGUGUGCUCGUAAGAGCGUGGAGGUUCAAGUCCUCUCGCCCGCA